CGCGCGUUCGGCUACCGGUCAGGCCACCGAGCUUUCACCUCGGAGGAACGGGUUCGACUCCCGUACGCGCGACC
RNAcentral lists this transfer RNA (74 nucleotides) under Actinocatenispora thailandica. RNAcentral's name for it is "tRNA-Glu". It matches the Rfam family "tRNA". Rfam says of the family: Transfer RNA (tRNA) molecules are approximately 80 nucleotides in length. Their secondary structure includes four short double-helical elements and three loops (D, anti-codon, and T loops). The record is from RNAcentral. Lineage: Bacteria; Bacillati; Actinomycetota; Actinomycetes; Micromonosporales; Micromonosporaceae.